UGGCUUUCGCUAUGUGUGUAUUGUUAGUUUCUGAGAAUAAAUUUUAGGCAUAUUUUUUUGUCUAAUAUUCUUUGAUAUGUAACUAAUGUAAUCCUCUUUGUUAAGAUUUUUGCAGAUAUAUUUUUUCCUUUGUCUCAAAGUUGGCUAUGGAUUUUUAGAUUUGAAGCUCUUUCCAUUUAGCUCUAAAAUUCUGGGUGAAAAGGGUCAAUAUUUUUACUUGUUUUGUUUUGACGGUGAUCAUGUAAUCAUCCAGGGUGUGUUAUUGAAUUUCAUAUUGCUUAAUUUAUACAAAAACUGUGUUGGUCACUUGUAGCUUGCUUUGAAAUACUUAAUGUUUCUGCCUAUUUGCAGUUUGAGAUACAUGAUUGUAUUGUGGUGCUGAUUAAUAUAAUAUUAUGAUUCUUGUCACUUCUCUCUUUGCUGGUGUGGUGCUUCAUUGUGUAAAAUUUUUUGCUGGUAAAUUGUACAAUUUUGCAAUUUCAGGAUUGUAGGCCUCCGUCUUUCCCAGUGGGUGUUACAUAGCAAACAGUCUAGGUCAUGCUCAUCCUAAAUUAAAUCAGUUGGUUAGCUUCUUUUGCUUAAAUAUAAAGGAAGCUUAAUUAAGUCUCUGAGAUUAAUGAUAUGGUAAUUGGUAAGGUACAUGUGCAUGCUUACUAAUCUUAGUCUGUUUUUUUUAAUGUAUUGAUGAUAUGUUAGCUCAAAAUUACUAGCUUUCAGAGAUCAUUUGUUCUGUUCUAGAGUCGACAACUGAGAAUAUAAGAUUGUUGACAUGCUAUAGGACUGGUGUGCCUAGAUGCUAGAAAAGACAACUUUUGAUAUAAUAUCUAUAUUGGGCAAUGUGUAGCGCAACAUUUCUGAAUUAUUAAUGAUCUUGAGGGUGAGAGCUUAAUAAGACUGCAGAGUAAUAAUAUUGCUCCCUGAAUAAUGACUUGCAAAUUACAAGGGUAUUUAUAAAUAUAAAAAAUAUCCAUAAAGCUAUAGCACUUGCUUGACCUCUGAGAAAUGUGUCUUGUAGGCAUAAUCAAUUGCCUCUAAAGUUGGCGUAUCGGUUAUUAAAUAAAUAUUUAAUUAAGUACUUAUGCUAACAGGUCACACAGGUCUUUUUCCAAGCAGGUAAAUGGAGCAACCUCCUAGGAAAUGAUGCAGCCUAGAAUUGUUGUUACAGAGGAUGUUCUUGAACAGCGUAGACUGGCUAAACAACAUAGUAACGCUGCACCUAGAAUAGUUUCUGAUUUUCAUGGAGACCCGAGCUGUGUAGAGAAAGCUGUAAAAUCCAGAUUCAAAGUCUUAGCUCAUAAUAUUGAAACAGUUGAAGAGCAACAAAGUACGAUCCGAGACCACCAUGCCAAUUUAAGCAAUUUAUUGAUGUCCUAAUGAAAGCCAAAGAAAUGCUCAUGCUGGGACUCUGACUAAAACAUCAGCGAUGCUGGGAUGUGGCGAAACACCAGAACAAGUAGUGAGAACCAUGGAGAAGGUGGGGGAAGCAAACAUUGAUGUGAUUACGUUUGAAAACUUGAAAUUGUAAUGGAGGUAGGUGAAUAAAGGCCGUCUGGCUACAGGUUGUUGCCUCUCUGAACACAUACAUGUGUAUUAUUUAAGAAUGUGUAUUCACUCUUCUACUGUUAUUUUAUUUCCCUUUUUUUACUUUUCAGAGAUCAUGUUUUGUUAGUAAUUCUUCUAUCCAUUGUUCAAAGCAAAUAUGCAUCCUUUUGCUUGCUAUCAUAUCCUGUUUCCUGAUUGAUUUAUCAUACAUGUUUAUUGGUGUUUAAUCUCUCAGACACACAUUUUGAACUUCUUUUCUUUUCUUUGAGCAAAUUUACAAGUACAUGUUUGAUUCUUCUUGCAUUUUCGGAUGUCCGGAAGUCAUCACCGAACAAGAACAUCGCUUCCCUCUGGCCAGCUAUGCCGUCUUAGAGAAACUGAGGUGUAUGGUUCAAGUUUGAAGUUUCAGAAUAACCUGAAUACUUGUUUAAUGUUCAGGUCCAGGCACUCUUAUAAAGAAUACUACAUCAACUGGUUCUGUGUUGCAGGAUAGCCAAGUGCUUGAGCAGCACAGAGAUGGGUGGCAAUUUGAAUCAAAUGUUCUAACAGUACCACCUUUAUCCUACGGAGAAGCAUUUAAGGAUGCAUAUAAAGUAAUUUUGAUCUUGGAUGACCGUGAGAAAUUUACCAUGCAAAGGUUAGAAGGCUUCCCGUUGGAGAUGCCAUCUGGGUUUUGCGCCAUAAACAUUUCCGUUCUGAGUAUGUUCUUGAUUUCACAGUUGAGCAGAAAAAAGUUGAUAGACUUACGAAGGUCAAUCAGGGAUAAUCGCUGUAGAGAUUAAAAAGUGCGGCUUUUGAUAUGAUUCUAUUUAGGUUCUGUACAUGGUUCCGUAUCUAAAUGUUACUAAUUUAGCAAUGAAAAUGAGAAAAUGUUUUGUAUUGCAGGACUCAACCUCUUAACUUGGUUAUAUCCUUCUUAUUCAUAUUCAGCUAAUACAUGUUCUUCCU
Molecule: long non-coding RNA, 2490 nt
Organism: Daucus carota subsp. sativus
Lineage: Eukaryota; Viridiplantae; Streptophyta; Magnoliopsida; Apiales; Apiaceae
Exons: 5
Source: RefSeq, a predicted model, not a curated record